CCCGUGGUAAAAUAUUUUUAUGAAUCAUCGAAAAGAAAAGAAUGCAUUCAAUAAUGUAAAAACAAAGAAAUUGAUCAACACAUUUUUACACUAGUUAAACUGUGGCAUCUUCCGGGAUCACGAGCAUCUGCAAUCUGUGCCAAUUCUUCUGUUUCUGCUAACACUUCAACAUCAACCAAAAUUAGAUCUGCCUUGAUCCAACACCAGGCUCUUGUUUCAAACUAUAAAUUUCCUAUGUCAGUCAAAAGUUUUGAUACCUUGACUGGUUACAGAUUCAAAUUCUCAAACUUCUGUCCAUUCAAAGUUCUCUCCAUGUUCUCUAUACUUUAUAGCAUAUCCAACAAUUGCCUCAGCCAAUGGAUGCUCACUAUUUACCUAAAUAGAACCAAGUGACAGUUAUCAGUCUCAUAUGUUAGUAUGGACAAAUCAAGUUGUUCCUCUUGAUAAAAGAUUCUAGUUAAUAAAAAUUGGUAUAAACUGAUCUAGAGGUAUAUUGUGCCACUACUUUUAGCUGGAUACUAUGUGACAUAUGCAAGAUCACAGAGAAAAACUUCAUAGAUUAGAUGUCUAUAAAACUAGCAGCGCAAGACUAGCAUAAGAAACAAAGUGAUAGAAGUUGAUCAAUCUCAUCUCCGUUCAAUAAUAAAAGCUUUACCAUAUCGACAUGAUUUUCUUAUAUUGCAACGUGGAUAACAGUUGAUCUAUGUUGAUCUUUUGAGUUAACAAGUAAUCCAUGUUUAAAUAGAUGCCCAAUGGUACAUGAUUUCAAAUAUGGGAUGGUGUUUUGCUGCUAUAGCUUCCCAUAAUGCGGUGUCACCAUUUAUAUAUGUUAUUAAUGGAAUAAAUAAUUAAGAACUCAUAUAACACUUGGCCUGUCAAAAAAUUUAACUUAAUUUUACAGUGACAUUUAUUGAGAUUGUCAUACCUUGUAAGUGUAUGUUACAUCCUGACUGAGAAGCACCAUUACACGUUCUU
RNAcentral lists this long non-coding RNA (975 nucleotides) under Solanum tuberosum (potato). RNAcentral's name for it is "long non-coding RNA (STUB_LNC009933)". The record is from RNAcentral. Lineage: Eukaryota; Viridiplantae; Streptophyta; Magnoliopsida; Solanales; Solanaceae.